This 521-nucleotide ribosomal RNA is filed under the name Calocybe gambosa. RNAcentral describes it as "mitochondrial SSU rRNA". It matches the Rfam family "Bacterial small subunit ribosomal RNA", at positions 441 to 899 of the family's 1533-position model. Lineage: Eukaryota; Fungi; Basidiomycota; Agaricomycetes; Agaricales; Lyophyllaceae. The record is from RNAcentral.
UGAGAUAACGUAAGGGAAAAAACUGAUAUUACCUUACUAUUAGUGUUGUCCAAAACUGGUGCCAGAAGACUCGGUAAGGCCAGAGACGCAAACGUUAGUCGUCCUAAUCAGGCGUAAAGGGUGUGUAGGCGGCUUUAAACAUUUUAUUUUCUUUUUUUAAAGUUCUUUUUUAUAAGUUUCUUUUAAAUUUAAAUUUUCUUUUUUAAAGUGUAGAUAUUAUACUUAAACCCUAUAAUAAUCUCAAAAUAUUAUUAAUUGAAGCUAGAAUCAAAUUGAAGAUAAUCAAAAUAAUACUUAGGGUAGGGCCGUAUCCGUAGAUUCUAAGGGGAAUACUAACCGCGAAAGCUUUUUAUCUAUUAAUGAUUGACGCUGAGAAACGAAGGUGAGAAUAGGAAAUAGGAUUAGAUACCCAGAUACCUCUCACUGUCAACGAUGAAUGGUAGUUGUUAGUUUUAUUAAAACUGGUAACGAGGUUAACACGAUGACCAUUCCGCCUUGCGAGUACGGUUGCAAAACUGAAA